AGGUGGCUGGAUGGUGAUUCUCU
This 23-nucleotide microRNA is filed under the name Macaca fascicularis (crab-eating macaque). RNAcentral's name for it is "novel_miR92-5p". Lineage: Eukaryota; Metazoa; Chordata; Mammalia; Primates; Cercopithecidae. The record is from RNAcentral.